GGAGGACUGUUCUGCGGAGCGCUCCGAACGGACAAACCACAAUAAAAAGUUCACGUUCAUGGAUGGAAUCCACAUGACUUCUUGUGGCCAAUCCAACUUGAAGAGAGCUACAUCCUUCCCAGUGGGGAGUCCAGGCAGCCCCCCACUCCACCCUAGACGGGAACAGGAGACACACGCCGCUGGAAACCUCCUAGCCAAGCCUGACCUGGCCGUGUUCUGACGAGCGGAGAGGGUUUAGACCCAUACUGGGCAGCCCUGCGGAGGCAACAGGAGGGGUGAGAGUUGGGGGCGGCCUCCAGAACCCCCAAAGAGCCCGUCAUCCUCAGGCUCCUUUCUCAGAGAAAAUGACAUUUUUCCUUCUCCAAGACUAUCCCUGGUGUCAAGUCUCCUCAAUUCCUAGGUUCAGAGGGCAGCUUAUUCCCAAUCUUUUUAGAAUUGAAAAUAAAAUGAAGGUCCAAGAUCUUGGUUCCCGCUUUUUUUUCCCCCUUGAGUGUAAGGCAGUUUGAAGCCUUUUCUGCCUUGUCAAGUGACCCACACCCACCUGCCUUUUUUCAGAAAAAUUCUGGUGUCCCAGCAGCUGGGAUACACCUUGGAGGCCCGGAAAAAAAAGAAACUUAUCCUUCUCCAAAUUCCACCUUCUGUGCUAAUUUCCAAGCACCCAAGGUGUCCCCCCACUUUCUCCAGACCCCUAAUUUUGGCGAUGAGUCCAAUGUGGGGGAACCCAGAAUAAAUUCCCCCAUAGAGAUCAUUUGCCAACCAUUCGCAACCCAGCCUAGUCAACAGCCCAAGACUCUGCACCAGCUGGAGAUUUGAAAGCCCAAAGCUCUCCCCUUGAUCCUGCUUGGAGCUGGCACAGGGACUUCCAGGGCUGGGUGCCCCACCCCAACCAAUAGGGGGUCCCUCAUCCCCUCCCCAAACUUCCUCCCUCAGUGAGGGAAGCAGUUCCCUCAGCCGGAUGCAGAGACCUAGUUUCUUUUACAAACCCACCCAUAAAUUUUAUAACAGGUAGUUAAAAAUUACGACAAGGAAGCUCUGGCCCAGCUUUUCACAAUGGGCCACUGGAAGAAUGGGACGGCACUGCGGCCUGCUCACGGGAAAUUUUACUUCUAGUCUGUGGCACAACCUGUCCCGAGUUCACUCUAAUUGGGGCCACGUAACUUUCUGCAGCCGUCAGGCAGCCAGUGGGGCGUCUCAUUUGAGGAAGAUGAGCCUGGGGAAGGCCAGUCAACUCUUUCACCCUAGGGCCCCCCCCCAAAGCCCUUUAGAGCACUCACUACCUCCCUCAACCCCCCACCCAGGUCCCCUGCAGGCCCACACCUCCCUUGGCCUCUGCAAUGAAAUGGGAGGGGAGAUAGAAUGCCGAGAAUUAAAAAAAAAAAAAUCCAGAGAAACGAAUUUACCCCCCAACUUAAUAGCUGCA
Molecule: long non-coding RNA, 1420 nt
Organism: Leopardus geoffroyi (Geoffroy's cat)
Lineage: Eukaryota; Metazoa; Chordata; Mammalia; Carnivora; Felidae
Exons: 2
Source: RefSeq, a predicted model, not a curated record